Long non-coding RNA from Apis cerana (Asiatic honeybee), 7050 nucleotides. RefSeq lists it as uncharacterized. The record is from RefSeq and is a predicted model, not a curated record. Lineage: Eukaryota; Metazoa; Arthropoda; Insecta; Hymenoptera; Apidae.
CUUUUUCGUCUCUUCGGUCGUCAGCCUUCGGACGAGUGGCUAGAGACGAAACGAAACGGAACGAAAGUGAAUACAUAUGUAUAUAAAUGUACAGGGAUUCUCUACGGGACUGAUUAAUCGUUUCGAAUCGUCCACUGGUUCUCCCUCCAACUCGGGCUUCCGUACGAAACCUUUCUCUUUAUUUAAUCUGAAGGAAUCGUCCGUCGCUUGAUGGACAAGUGUGAACAGAGGCGCGAGAGUCGAGCCGAGUCGAUUCGCGAUGGGUCGAUUCCAUUCGAUACUAAUCGAGUCAAAGUCCAUCCCGCCGCUAGUGUCGCCGGAUGGGCCGAUCGUUGGAUGGCCGAGGCGCCACGGCGCCGACCGCGUAGAAGGGUUUUCUUGUAGCCCGGUCGUAGCCCGCUCGUAGCAAACCGACUCACACUCUCGCACGCUCCCGUCUCGGCAUCCAUCUCUUUUCAUUCCUUCUAGUCGCGUCGGCCACUUUGUUCUUCCGAUAUUCGCGGCCACGGGAUUCCUAUUCGAUCAACCGUAUUCAUCAUUUCCGCCUUAGUUUUCUCCCAAAGUACGCCCUUCUUUCUCUCUUUCUAUUAUUCCUACAGUAUUAUGUGUAUUCUCCUCUAUUACUCAUACAUUUAAGCGAUAAGCUGUGGGAUAUAAAGAAACGAGGAGACGAGAGGUAUAUCUGCACGUGUGUGUCGACAAUUAACGAUCGGUGUCAAGUUUCAGUCGGUACGCUCGAAGCUUCCAUUUCCAACGGUUGGUGGGGAUAAUGACGGACGUUGAAGCGAGCAAUACCGUAUUACAAUCUCUCCUAUUUUUCUUUCUCGGUUUUCUGGAUGAUCACUUUACUCCUCCAACUUUUCUACGGUGAGAAUAAACUAACUAAUCGAUCUCUCGCCGUUAUUUGAAUCGUCAUCGAUUAUUAUUCAAGCAUCUAAUUUAAGGUCUUUCACCAAAGAGCGGAAGGAACGAUCCAGUGUGAACGGCCCUUUCGGUAACCCGAUACCGAAGAUGCAAACUCGAGAUAAGAUUCCUCGGAAAUUGCGCUCCAGUCCAGUUUCGGCACGCGCCUCUCUCAUCUCCCCGUCCUUCCACGGCGUGGUUCCAUUGACAGGCACGCGAGCUUAUCUGCACUUUGGAAUCUCUACGAGAUUCACUACGCUUCCGACUUCUUUUCUUCCUCACUCUUUCGCGAUCAUCAAACGUAACGUCGCUAUAAGUCUCGAUGUGGGAACGCGAUCAAUUAUUUUAACGCACAGGUUAUGUUAUAUAACGGUUGUUGGCGUAAAUACUGGCGUAAAUAAUAACGCGUAAAUUCAUUUAUUCGUUUACGAGUGCUUACUUCGUCGACGAGCGUGACGCCGAGGCUAGAAAAAAAAAUGUUACGGCGAGGAAGAUGAUAUUUGAAGGAAGAAGAAGGAAGGAAGAGACAAGGUGUCGGUGUCUGUGCGUGUUGAAAGCGUGUGCGUCAGUGAGAAGGAGUGAUGAGACAAACGGACCUGAAAAAUCGAAGAAAGGAAAAAGAAGGAUGGAUACGUACCUGACUGUGAGAAUUUUUUGCUAUCUGAUCUUUAAAUUUCCUCUGUUUCUAUGGAAAAAUUGAAAUAAAUGUUGUGAAACAGCAGAAGGAAUAGUAAUGUAAUUAAGUGGUUUGUUAUAAUUUAUCAUCGCGUUUCAGUGAAAAUUAUUUCCAUAAGUAUGAAGAAUAUUUUUUAAAAACAUUACGAGAAUUUAUUUUAUUUUUAUUAAUGAAAGAGUUUAAGAAGCUUCGUUGGAAAGGAGCUAGUGCAAUCAAUUUUCUAUCGAUCGAUCUUCUCUUCCUUGGGAAUGGGAAUGAUGAUUCGAGAUAAAUAAAAAUCGAAAUCGAAAAUAAAUUCUUUCAAGAGGAAUCGAUCAAAAAGAAAGAAACAUUAAUCGGGAAUAAAUCGAAAGGAAAAAAAAGUAUGGAGAAAUAUUUCGAAGAAAAAUCGAUCGAGGAGAAUUCGAUUCGAAGGAAAAAAUCGUUUGGAAAAGACUCGACCGAGGAAAUGAUCGAUCGAGAACGUUUCGAUGUAUCGCGCAUCGAAGCGACGGCCGAUGCGCAAACCAGUCACUUUUAUAUCGACGAACUUCGUUCACCGACGCUUAGAAACUAUUUAAAGAAUUUCUUAUGCUCGCUUAUCGCCAGUAAUUAGACUCAUUGCGGUGUUCGGAAGUGGCGAUGGAGGCGGACGCGAAAAACAAGUGUCUUCUCGUUUCGAGUUUAUUAAGAACGGUGAAACGGUCGGGAAAAUAGGUCGUUGCAAGUGGCCGAGCUCGUUUAAUGGCUCACACGUACGCUCGUGUCCCGGAUGCACCUAUCUUUUAGUAUCUUCGCUCUUCGCGUUUCGAAUCGAGUUUUUUCUACCGAGUUAGUUAGUUUAUUGCCAGAUUCCUUCGAAAUCGCGGCCGGUUGUUAGUGGUGGGCAGCGAUACGAACGAAGAGUUAUCGGCAAAGCGGUGAAGUUGCACCUUAACGAUUAGCUUUGGGUUAAGAGUAAGCGUAAAAGCUUCGCUUGGAGACAACCGACGGCCCUUGGAGUGGAAAAAAUAUUGCAUAACUCGUCACGUUCAAGUACGGUUAAAAAGAAUAAGUGUCGCGUUGUUAUUUCGAAGAUUAACGUUUUCCUAACCUUCUCGGGUUGCAACUCUCUUUUCUGAUAUUCCAAUAAUUCUCAAUAAUUUAUGACCGUGUUCCUCGUACGAGGUAAGGAAAAUCGACACCGUUUUAUCAUUGCCUUUUUUUAAAUAUCUAAGAUAAUCGUCCCGAUAGCAAUAAUAGUAGUUAAAACAAAAAACAAAAAGAAAAACACUGACUCAUCAGUACUCGAGCGGAUUGGGAACCACUGGUCUAAACCAAGCCAGAAUUUUCCAAUUUCAAUUACUUUUAAGAAUCUUUCAGCCAACAUUCUCAAGUAAAUAUACUUUUUUCUUUUUUUUCUUUUUCCAUAACGAUCCCUAUACGACCGUCUCCGCGAAGCGAACGAGAUCUCGAUCUCGCGCGCAUACGAAAUAACGAGGCGUGCUCGUAAAUAUCAGAAGCGACGACCGUACACCCGCGUUUCCACGCGUAUGCACGAUCCCGCGUACACGCGCAAAUCCAGCCAACGAAUCUCUUCCGUUUGCCUCUUAAUCGAGGAGCACCGAUUUGAAUCGACUAGAAUCCGAAUCGAGUUUCUCCUCUCGCGAUUCUAGUUUCUUACGAUGACUCGUUGCGAUUAUUGUUAUUAUUAUUAUUAUUAUUUCUAAAUGAUCGAGCUUUAUUUUUUCUUUCCUUUUUUUUUACUUGUCCACGCGUCACAUUGUCGUCGUGAUAUAUACACAGCGUGACUUUUUCUUUUUCUUAUUCUUUUUGUCCACCAUUGUGUACACGAGGGAGAGAAAUCGACUCUUCCUUUUUUCGAGCAAUAAAGCGUUGAAACUGGGCACCGAGUUGGGUGUCGAGUCGUCGUUUGUUCCGUACGAACAGUAUUCUAAAAUGAAAUGGAUCGAUUCUGGCGCCCUCUGGUUCGUAUUCUUCGACGAGACGUACAUGCUUCACAUUCGCGGUUAGUGACAAUGUGACGCGUAACGAGGAUACGUAACAAGUGUAAACCCACCUUUAGAUGGAGACGCGCGUGAAAAAAAGGGGGAGGGGGAAAAAGAGAAAGGGACGAAUGAAAAACGAGCGCGAUCCGCGACACCUGGUUUACCUACUUACGCCUACUUUGGGCAACUCCUCGUCAAAAGUGCACGCAAGUUUCCCUUGCGUCGACGCAGAGAAACGAGCGGAAAAACGGAAAGCGUGAUUGGCUUACGCGGGGAUACCGUUGAUAAGAGACAAGAGCGGUUCCUCGCCGCGAUUUAAAUAUUUAUGAAUUAUAGAGUGGCUCGCCUUGUAGUUGGGAAAUUUUUGCGAACCGGGUGUAUGAACCGGGAAGCGUGUAUGGCUUCACCCCUACCUCUAUCUUUCCUAUUCAUUGCAUGACUCUAAAGGAGAUUUAUGCAUCCAGCCUCGAGCGGCCGAGAGAAAAGUUCACGACUCGCAGGCAUUCCCGCGUUUCCAGCUAGGACAGAGUGUCGGUGAGCAUCCUGGCAUCGAGAAUCCUAUUUUUUUUAUGACGAGGAAUCGUCUUCGCGCAAAGAUCGAUCGAGUCGAGGAGAAUUUCUCUUGGAAUUUAAUCCAAACAUAACCUAAUUUAAUCUAACGAAAAAUACAAAUAUGUAUUAUUUUUAUUCGUUUAAUUGGAAUCAUCUUGCGAUGAGAUCGAUUCAAAUGCCGGUUCGAAAAGAAUUUAGUUCAAACAUAACCUAACUUAAUCGAAAAAUACAAAUAUGCAUUAUUUUUAUUCGUUUAAUUGGAAUCAUCUUGCGAUUCAAAUGCCGGUUCGAAAAGAAUUUAGUUCAAACAUAACCUAACUUAAUCGAAAAAUACAAAUAUGCAUUAUUUUUAUUCGUUUAAUUGGAAUCAUCUUGCGAUGAGAUCGAUUCAAAUGCCGGUUCGAAAAGAAUUUAGUUCAAACAUAACCUAACUUAAUAUAACCUAGCGAAAAAUAUAUUAUUUUUAUUCGUUUAAUUAAGAUUGGAAUCAUCUUUGCAAUGAGAUCGAUUCAAAUGCCGGUUCGAAAAGAAUUUAGUUCAAACAUAACCUAACUUAAUCGAAAAAUACAAAUAUGCAUUAUUUUUAUUCGUUUAAUUGGAAUCAUCUUGCGAUGAGAUCGAUUCAAAUGCCGAUUCGAAAAGAAUUUAGACCAAACAUAACUUAAUUUAAUAUAAUCCCAGGAAAAAUGGAAAUAUAAAUCUUUGAGAGAUGCGAGAUCAUCUUUGCGAUAAGAUCAGAUUCAAGGAGAAUUUAGAUCUACCGUAAUCUACGUUAACACAAUCUUGCGAGAAAUCUAAAUAUCAUUUUUACAUCGAGAUUGGAAGCGGAAUCAUUCUCGAUCGAUUUAAAUACCGAUAUUCGAGAAAAAUUUCUUCUGGAAUUUGAACAUCCGUGGUUGGUCGUAAAACGUGUCGCCGGUUCAUUCCUCCGCAUAGAGACCGUUCGGCUCUCGACUUCCGGUUUUAUUGUGGAACACGACUUUCCAAUAAGGUCGUCGCCUGCAUUUUUCGUCCCGCGUAGGUAUAUAGGUCUUUGAAACACCGAGUUCAGGUACGUGAACGCUUUCGACGCAACCUGUCUCCUCUUAUCUUCGCCACGAUAUCUUUGUCCUCCGUUUCCUGCAUACCCGUGAAACCGAUUCGAGCGAACCUUCCGUUCCGCCGAUUCGCAUAUCCAUCCAUUUCCCGCAUAUAUGUGUCAAAGAGUCGGAGAUGGAAGCGCCAUUUUACUUGAAACCACCAUUGCAGUUUCGUCUUUCGUUUCAUCCCCGAAUCUAUUAUUCGAGGAAACAGCCGGCCGACUGUUGCCAGUAUCCAUUAUAUCCACCCGUCCUGUCGUUAGUUCCCCCAUCAAACGAGAAAGCCCAUCGAUAGCAGGGGGUCGUCCGUUUAUAGCCUUCCAACGCCAUCAUCCCUACCACCGACGAGUGGCAUACACGUACGCCCUUUCGCUUCGUUCUUCUUCGGAGAACACUCGAGGAUCCAUUGCCCGUUCCUCUUGCCAACUUUCUUUCGCGCGUUUUUUCACCUUUUCCCUAUCACCGUAUAUCGGGUCCUCUCCAAAAUACUCGAAAAAUAUCGAAAUGCUCGCCGCCAGAUUGUCGCCUCGAGCGGCCGUCCAGUAUAGGAGUCCGGGGCUAAUUAUAAUAUAAAACUUGCCGCGCCUUGUCGCCUUUCGUGUUCCUCCGCGAUUCCUUUUCCUGUCUGUUUCCCUCGGGAACAAGGUUGCACCGCUCGUCGCGGCGCAGACGUUCCCAACCGUUCGUCUCGAUCGGUCGCAACGAGCUCGAUCGAUCAGCUUACGACCGCUGCGCGAAUCGAACCACUCUGUUUUCGUUGUUGGAUCGAGACUAGCGAAGCUAGAUACGCGUAUAAAAUAAUGGCCACGGAAUUCUGUCGAGAUGCACGAGUCUUUGGGGAUCCGAGAACGUGAGAGGAUGCUCGGUUUCGGUUGAGAAACACGGUCGGUGUAUCGGCAGGCCGUUGUCUCUAUACUCCUCGAGGGCGCUCGAUCAACGCACUAACACUCUCCAACUGAUCCGAUCCGAUGCACGCACGCUCGCUCGCAAACGGCACACACAGACGCGCACACAAGCUCGAGCAGCCGCCUGACCAGCCAGCCAUCCACCCAACCAGCCAUCCGACCAGCCAGUCGGCCCAACAGCCGCAUAAUACACACGCCAUAAUACGCGCGCCUCGCAUUAGACCUCGGUUAAACGCGGCUGCUGAAAACUUUGCGACCGACGUCUCGUCGUUCUUUUUCCACUCGCCCUCUCCUAUGCUAGUAUUCGCUAUUCGUUAUUCGUGAACUCGACCUCUUUUCGUCGAUACGUUCUCGGGAGUAAUCCCCACUACCAAAGGGAACCCCUCGUUGAAACCAGCGAAGCGAGUAAUUCUAAUUUCUUCAAACGCUUUUUUCGACUCCUCUCUUUCCAUCUUUUUCUUUCCAACGCUAGCUGUCACACUCUGCGUGGUUAUUGGCAAAGAUAAAACUAGACUCGGAAAUUAAUAUAUUUUCGUGUCUCUAAGAGCUAAUAUAUGCUCGAUCUCGAGUUGUGAACUUAUAAUGAAUAUAAAUUCCGUAUACAUUACGGAUAAGUUAAAAGAGUGAAUAAAAGCUAACAUUAUCGGGGUAAACCUAUGAUUAUCAAUGAUUCACGAGCAAAGUUUGAAAUAUAUAUUAUUAUCGCGGUCUGGACAGCCGCAUUUUAUUCUAACCUAACUCUAUACAAACUCAUUGAGAAAUACCGAGUAUCGUAUGUCCUAGAUUUAACCACUCUGUCAGCCUCAUCCGCUCUUUUAAUCUUACCUUACGUUGCAGCCCAUCGUUAUAUCUAUCGGAUAUGAAAAAGUGGCGAAUUCAAGUUUGUUCGAUUCAUUCCCGUGUAGUAAACAAAUAAAACUGUCUUUAAAAGAGAAAUCCAAGAGAAAUCGAAUAAAGCGAGAAAGGAA